RNAcentral lists this ribosomal RNA (476 nucleotides) under uncultured organism. Its description in RNAcentral is "partial 16S ribosomal RNA". It matches the Rfam family "Bacterial small subunit ribosomal RNA", at positions 332 to 799 of the family's 1533-position model. The record is from RNAcentral.
UACACUCCUGCGGGAGGCAGCAGUGGGGAAUUUUGGACAAUGGGCGAAAGCCUGAUCCAGCCAUGCCGCGUGCAGGAUGAAGGCCUUCGGGUUGUAAACUGCUUUUGUACGGAACGAAACGGCCUUUUCUAAUAAAGAGGGCUAAUGACCGUACCGUCAGAAUAAGCACCGGCUAACUACGUGCCAGCAGCCGCGGUCAUACGUACGGUGCAAGCGUUAAUCGGAAUUACUGGGCGUAAAGCGUGCGCAGGCGGUUAUGUAAGACAGUUAUGAAAUCCCCGGGCUCAACCGGGGAGCUGCAUCUGUGACUGCAUAGCUAGAGUACGGUAGAGGGGGAUGGAAUUCCGCGUGUAGCAGUGAAAUGCGUAGAUAUGCGGAGGAACACCGAUGGCGAAGGCAAUCCCCUGGACCUGUACUGACGCUCAUGCACGAAAGCGUGGGGAGCAAACAGGAUUAGAAACCCCGGUAGUCCCAUG